RNAcentral lists this long non-coding RNA (5140 nucleotides) under Sus scrofa (pig). RNAcentral's name for it is "lncRNA (ENSSSCG00000060099.1)". Lineage: Eukaryota; Metazoa; Chordata; Mammalia; Artiodactyla; Suidae. The record is from RNAcentral.
UUUUUUCAUUUUUUGCAAAUGUCAUGUUUGGUUUUGGCUUGUGGUUGACCUGUUUUUUAAGUAUGCUAACCCCUUCCUAUUAUUGUGAGUUUUAGCCUGAUGGUCCUGUAGGAUCAAACACUUCAUUACUAUAUUAAAAUUAAGAAGAGAAACAAACAAACAAACAAAAAAGGGUCUAUUUAUUUCCUAACAUCCCUUGCCCACAUUUUAUGAUUUUGAUGACUCUUUUUUAUUUUUUUCUUUUUAAUUUUAUUUUGUUUGAAGCAUGUUCAUGAUUAAAUCUGUAUGCUGGCUUAUUUGAGUGAGCUCUCUGAUUGGGGUUUCCUCAAUCCUCAUUCUUCCUCCUCUUCUUUUUUUUUUUUUUUCUUUUUCCUCCCUUUCUUUCUUUCCUUUUUUUUUGGUUUAGAGAAGCCCUUUCAGUAUUUCUUUUAGCCUGGGGUUUGCAUUGCUGUAUUCUUUUAGCUUCUGUUUGUUGGAAAGAAAUUUUUUUUUCUCCUUCUAAAUGAUAUUCUUGCUCGAUAGAGUAUUCUAGGUUGCAUAUUUUUUCCUUUUAGCACUUUAAAUAUCUCUUGCCAUUCCCUCCUGGCCUGUAGUGUUUCUGUAGAAAAAUCAGCUGAUAUUCUUACGGUGGUUCCCUUGUAGGUAACAUUCUGUUUUUCUCUUGCUGCCUUUAGGAUCCUCUCUUUAUCACUAACUUUUGCCAUUUUUAUUAUAAUGUGUCUUGAUGUAGGUCUAUUUGGGUUCAACUUGUUUGGUGCCCUCUGUGCUUCCUGUAUCCUGAACUCAGUAUCCUUUAGAUUUGGGAAGUUUCCAUUGAUAAUUUCUUCAAAUAUAUUUUCCAUUCCCUUAUCUUUUUCUCCUCCUUCUGGAAUUCCUAGUAUGUGUAGAUUGGCCUUCUUCAUAUUAUCCCAUAGGUCUCUUAUAUUGCUUUCCAGUUUUUUGAUUCGGUUUUGUGUCUGUUGACCGGAUUGAGUGAUUUCCAUUAUUCUAUCUUCCAUAUCACUGAUUCGUUCUUCUGCAUUAUUCAUUCUGGUUUUUACUGCCCCUAGUUCAGUUUGUAUCUCUGCAAAUGAAUGUUCUAGUUUUUCUUGGCUCCUCCUUAUAUUUUCUAGUUCCUUUCUGAGGGUAUCUGCAUUACUGUUCAUAUCUUCUCUGAAUUCCUUCAGUAUUUUCACUAUUUCUCUUUUGAACUCCAGGUCUGUCAGACUGCAGAGAUCUGUUUCAUUGUUGACUGCUUUAGGUGAGUUCUCCUGUUGGUUUAACUGGGGGUGGUUUCUCAGUUUCUUCAUCUUGCUUGUUGUUUUUUUUUCCUGGCGGAGUUGUACUCUCCGUUAUCAGGCAUUGUUUGCCUUGUCACUGCCAUGGAAUGUUUCCUGAGGGCUGGCGUUGUUGGUCAGUCUUUUCUGAGACAGGGUGGUUUUUCUGGAGUGUUGGCAGGGCUAACAGGGUCUCUCUGAAGCAAAGGGGGACUUCCUGAGGGCAGACAGGACUGGGAGAUCCACACCACGAUGGGAGCAGAUUUCACUCAGCUGCACAGAGCUUGCUCUGGCGUUUUUGGGCUGGCGCAGGGGGCUGGCGGUGCUGGGCAGCUGUUCCGCAGAGUUCAGCGCCCCCCAGGGUUGGAGCAGCUAUCUGGGUCACUGAGAACCCAAGAGGCUCUUCCCGGGGCAGCCUGACUCAGAAGAACUCUCUGAGAAUGUAGGCAGCACUUUACACAGCCUGGCCAACUUGUUCUAGCUUUUUCUGGGUUGCAGGGGCUCCUCCAGUGGGCUGGCAGUGCUGAGCAGCUAUUCCGCAGAAGUGCAGCACCCCUCGAGGGCUGGAGCGGCUAGUUGGGCCACUGCAAACCCAAGAGGCUCUUCCCCAGAGCAGCCCCAAGGACUGUCCGAGAAUUAGGCAGAUCUCUUCACGGCCUGGCCAAGCUUGUUCUAGCUUUUCUGGGCUGCAGGCCUUUUCCUGGGGGCUGGUUGUGUUUGGUGCUGCUCAGCGGGGGUGUAGCCCCUCCAAAGGGCAAGCAGGUGUCAGGGCAGGGACAGCCCCUGUGGUGGUAGGCUUCAGGCAACUGUUGAAGCCAGCCCUCCCGGAUGGCAGGCAUCCCCAGGUCCCUCGUGUUCGUAAGGGUUGGCGGGGGGGGUGGGGGGUGGAGGGGGUGGGGAGGAUGCACUGAGAAGCACAACUUUUUGAUAGCUAGCAGGCUGGUAAGCUUGCUGUGGUGUGGGGAGUAUUCUCUGGGGGCCCACCCCUUCUUCUCUCCCCUCCCCAACACUGGCACAGACCUGGCUCUUCUCCCAGGUUCCCUCUGAUGUGGUUUUCCACUUCCUCGCCCUUAGAGUAUUGCUCCCUCCCCCUGUGACGCUCUGCUUUCUAGUCUCCCAGGCAGUCUCUGCCCCAUCAAACUUGACAGACCAGUUUCUAGACCUCCCAAGCAGUCUCCGCUCCACCCACCCCCCAGUCUUUUCCCUGGGCCUAACCUCCGGAGCUGAGGUCUUGGUGCCCAGGCCCCACCCAGGCAUCUCAAUUUUUGGUGACUGUGCCCGUAGUUCAGAUGAUCCGUUCGGUUCUCACUCUGCUUUUCAGAACUCCAACUUCCUGCUACACUCUUCUCUGCAUCUAGAGAUUCCUCCGGUUCAGUUGAUCUUUCUGUCGAAUAGGUGACUUUCCAGGGUGCGGGAUCCCUUUCUCCUCUGCAGUUCCCUUUCAGGAGUGCCCGUCCAUCUCGGAUUCCCCUUCUCUCGCUCUCCUCUUUUCUCUUGUUUUAACCAGUAAUAUCACAAAAUUCUUGCUGUUAUUGGAGUUUAGGUUCUUCUGCCAGCGAUUGGUUGCUGUUCUGUGCGAGUCGUUUAUCCUGUAGAUGUGGUUUUUUUUUUGUUGUGUUUGUGGGAGAGGGCGAGCCUGUCCCCCUACUCUUCUGCCAUCUUGCCUCCUCCCUCUGCCUUGUGUUUUCUGAUUAAAUGCUGGCCCUUUCCCCAGCCAACAACAGCCUAUUCGUCUCUGUUGUAUUUAGGAAGCUCAGUUUCAUUAAAGAGCAGUUGCUAUGGUCAGUCCAGGUCUACAGUAGCUAACCAGUCCUGAGAUCAUCAAGUAUGCUUUCACUCCCCCAACAAAUGCUUUCUGCAUAGUGUUGAUGAAGAGAUCAGCUCUGGGACUUUUUGAGUGCACAUAUUUAGACAAUUGUUAAUCAGGUUUUUCUAAUUUAAUACUCCAAUAUCCCUUUAUUUCCCUUAUUUUGUACCAAAGCUAUCCUGGUAUUCAUGUUUAUUUAGUAUAGACCACAUUUGGUUCUUGUUUAUAGUUAAUAAGUCAAACAAGCUUCUCCAAUCAUUCCCAGCUACCUGGACUAAUACAAUGAGUCCAAAUCUUUGUAACAUUCGUCAUCCAAAAAGAGACUUGCUCAUUCAGUAAGGGGAAAAAAGUUGCUGCUUCUAGUAAACAAAGUUCAAUAGAAUUUAGGUGUUUAAUGUCUCCAGUUUCACCAAAGUCAGCCUACUUGUUCCAACUCCAUUUUCCAGCAUCUUACUCCUUCCCAGUGACUGAUCAAACUUUAAUAUUACAUGAACCACAAUUUUGGGAAUUCAAUUUCCAUUGUAAUUCUGUCAUCUUCAUAAUUAUAUUUUCCAUUUGUUUUACAGAAAUGUUGGCCCUGUCAUCAAAAGAGACAGUGUUUCUGUGGGGGCAGGCAUAGAAGCUUUCUGGUCCUUUAACCAGAUCUUGAGCUGAGAAUUACAAGCUCUGCAUUAACAUUUCUUCCCCAAGUUCUUCAGUGCCCUUAGAAAAAACCACCCAAGCCAGUAAGGCAUAUGCCUUAAUUUCACUAUAACAUUUGCUUUCUGAUAACUCAUUUCUAAGGUCUUAUUCCUCUGUAACAUUACUGUCCUGUAGACAUAUGUGAACCACAAAUGCAAGCUAUAUCUGUGUUGUUAAAAUGCUCAGUAGCCACAUUAAAAAUGUAAAAAGGUGAAACAAAUUUUAAUAAUUUAAAUAAAUAUAUCCAAAAUAUUAUUUUAGCAUGUAGUCAAUAUAAUAAAAAUAAAACAUUUUUAUUUUUUCUGUCUGAAAUCUCAUGUAUCUUUUAUAGAUGUGGCAUAUCUCAAUUAGCAUUUCAAGUUGGUCAGUAGGUACAUGUAGCUAGCAGCUGCUAUACUGGACAGCAUAUAUCUAGAACUCCUAUUAGCUGUUUCUGUAUCAGUUUGAUGAAAGAAGUAGAAAGUAUGGAGUACACAUUGUGGUUCAGCAGUUAACGAAUCUGACUAGUAUCCAUGAGGACACGGGUUCUAUCCCUGGCCUUUCUCAUUGAGUUAAGUAUCCAGCCUUGCAGUGAACUGUGCUGUAGGUCACAAAUGUGACUCAGAUCCUGUGUUGCUGUUGCUAUUGCUGUGGCUGUGUCGUAGGCCUGCAGCUACAGCUCUGAUUUUGACCCCUAGCCUGGAAACCUCCAUAUGCCACAGGUGUGGCCCUAAAAAGACCAAAAAAAGGGGGGUAGAACAACAUAUGUGAUAUUGAGUAAGAAUUUUUUAUAAGGACUAGAACAAUUAUAGAAAUUGGAAUAGGUAUCUCUGCAUUACUGUUGUCUCUACAUCCGAUAUUGAGUGUGAUGCUAUUAGCCAUUAGGUGUCAGUCAGACUAGUAGUGGAAAGGAAAACUGGAUUAUGCAAUACUCAGGAUAAGGGACACACUGGAUGAGCUAGAAUCAACAUCUUUCUCUCUGUCUCCAACUACUGCAGGAAAAACAUGCAAGGGAAGCUGCAGCCCUUGACCACAGACUUGCAUGUUCACCUGGCCAUGAACUAUAAGAAGCUGGAAGGUGUCUCCCCAUGUCAUCAAAGUGAGACUGCAGAUGGGUGAGUACAAGUGUAAGAGGCUAUAGUGCAUAACUCAUUACACUAAUCUUCUGAGUCUGGAAAAUAUGCUUCUUAUAAGAUAAACUUGUUAUAGACAAUCUAGGUAUUGAAUAUUUUCAACAAAGAAAAUUUUUUUGGAUUUUCCAUUAUGGCACAAUGGGUUAAGAAUCUGACUGCAGCGGCUCAGUUCACUGCAGAGUGGCAGGUUCAAUCCCUAGCUUGGCAAAGUGGGUUAAAUGACCUAGCAUUGCCAAAGCCGCAUCUCAGAUUCAGUUCCUGGCCUGGGAACUUACAUAUGCCAA